Long non-coding RNA from Astatotilapia calliptera (eastern happy), 3690 nucleotides. Lineage: Eukaryota; Metazoa; Chordata; Actinopteri; Cichliformes; Cichlidae. The record is from Ensembl.
CUGGAGCCUGUCCCAGAUGACUAAAAUCCCAUUUAAUAUGCUGCUGCACCAACAAACUACUUGCAAGGCAACAAGAUUUAUUGCAAAGAAGCAUUGUUACAACAAAGAAAUAAUCAAACAAACCCAAGCUAUGUGUAGUAAAAAAUGUACGGGACCUUAGGACCUGCUGCUCAACGUCAGCGAGACACAAUGGACUGUCUGGCCUGGGUAUUUUAGGUGUGCAAAUUUUCAUCCCCAAAUCACACAAAAGUGUGUGGGAGGAAUAAUCAUGGAAACAAGAAGAUUUCGCUCUCUCUCUCUGACUGUGAUGAUGAACAGCAAGCAAAGGAAUACGUCUUCAGACAAGAAAAUGAUUAAUCUGUGAUGGCUACCGCUGGCCACACCAUAAAUGUCAACAGCACUUCUCAGCAGUACACUCAGCAACCGACUGCAGCACCUGGGCCCUCUCAGUCCCACCAGAGAGCGUCCUACCAGCCAGCACCAGCUCAGCCUGAUGACCCAGCUGAGCUCAUGACCACAUCACCCAGCCAUGAACAGCCAUUCCUAAGACCACCACCAUCAUACGAGGAAACAACUGGUCCUGCCUACCCUCUACAACUGAUGCCUUCCAGUGAGACAGUGUUCAUCCCACUGUACCUAUCAGAGGGUACUGUGCAUGAGCACAACGGUCUACAGGACAGCACAGACUUCCUAACCAGCACUGCAUGCGACCCUGAAUUUGUUAUACGCUAGGCUUAAUAGUCAUAGCGCCCCAAGCAGACACAAACAUGAUGCAAAAUAUUUGGCUCAAAUGGAAGUAUGUACUUUGAAUGAAGAUGAGACACAGCAGUGUAACUUGAUGUAUUUUCAAUUUUAUUCUUUAAACCAGUUUUUAGUGGCUCAAGUUAUUUAGAAAAAUUGAAACAUAAGGUCACUGUUUCUCACUAAUUGUCUUUGGCCUUAUUCCUCAAGAUCUCUCCCUCUUGUCUUUACUCUCUAUCGGGGAAAGUACUUGACAGUCAGAUUCAGUUGUCAGCAGUUAGAAGGUGUUUCAGUGUUCAUUAGAAAUGCAUCGAUGGAUGCACAUGCAAGAUAAAUAUGAACACGUUAAAGAAGCUGACGUUAAAGUCAGGCGGUUGUACAGAAAAUCAUUGUGAAGUUAAUAACUUUUGUUAUUAUUUUAUUAUAGUCUCUUAUUAUAUUUUUUUACAUUGGAUACAGUUUGAGUUAUAGAUUUUAGAAAAACAAUCAGUUGUUAAACAGUGCGUCUCUAGUAUCUGUGGAUAUCGUCUCAUCGCUAUCUAUGAAUUUACUGCAGACCUGCAAAGUGCUGUUAACCCUUUUUCUCUGUGUAUUUGUGUGCAUUGCCUUGUAAGUCAUGCCCCAUGUGAAUGAAUUCAAAGAGUGCAAACAUUUAUUACUGAGGGUUUUUUCUCCAUUCAUGUCAGGUCAGCUGAUCACUCACACUUCCUGAACACAUACAGUUCCACUUUUUUAAUGCAUGUUGUUUUCAGUGUGUAAAAGAUGCGUUUACACUGUAUUAUUUUUGUUAGGACAUCACACGCUCCCCCAUUGAGUGAGCUGAAUUCUGGAUCUGUAAUUUAUGCUCUAGGUAAUUAUUGAAAUGAACUGACUGCUCCUUUGUAUAUACAUUUUCUCACGGAUAGAUCGAUGUGCAGCGGCCCUUCGGUCUCCCUUUACAGGGAGUGCAGAAUUAUUAGGCAAAUGAGUAUUUUGUCCACAUCAUCCUCUUCAUGCAUGUUGUCUUACUCCAAGCUGUAUAGGCUCGAAAGCCUACUACCAAUUAAGCAUAUUAGGUGAUGUGCAUCUCUGUAAUGAGAAGGGGUGUGGUCUAAUGACAUCAACACCCUAUAUCAGGUGUGCAUAAUUAUUAGGCAACUUCCUUUCCUUUGGCAAAAUGGGUCAAAAGAAGGACUUGACAGGCACAGAAAAGUCAAAAAUAGUGAGAUAUCUUGCAGAGGGAUGCAGCAGUCUCAAAAUUGCAAAGCUUCUGAAGCGUGAUCAUCGAACAAUCAAGCGUUUCAUUCAAAGUAGUCAACAGGGUCGCAAGAAGCGUGUGGAAAAACCAAGGCGCAAAAUAACUGCCCAUGAACUGAGAAAAGUCAAGCGUGCAGCUGCCAAGAUGCCACUUGCCACCAGUUUGGCCAUAUUUCAGAGCUGCAACAUCACUGGAGUGCCCAAAAGCACAAGGUGUGCAAUACUCAGAGACAUGGCCAAGGUAAGAAAGGCUGAAAGACGACCACCACUGAACAAGACACACAAGCUGAAACGUCAAGACUGGGCCAAGAAAUAUCUCAAGACUGAUUUUUCUAAGGUUUUAUGGACUGAUGAAAUGAGAGUGAGUCUUGAUGGGCCAGAUGGAUGGGCCCGUGGCUGGAUUGGUAAAGGGCAGAUAGCUCCAGUCCGACUCAGACGCCAGCAAGGUGGAGGUGGAGUACUGGUUUGGGCUGGUAUCAUCAAAGAUGAGCUUGUGGGGCCUUUUCGGGUUGAGGAUGGAGUCAAGCUCAACUCCCAGUCCUACUGCCAGUUUCUGGAAGACACCUUCUUCAAGCAGUGGUACAGGAAGAAGUCUGCAUCGUUCAAGAAAAACAUGAUUUUCAUGCAGGACAAUGCUCCAUCACACGUCCAAGUACUCCACAGCGUGGCUGGCAAGAAAGGGUAUAAAAGAAGAAAAACUAAUGACAUGGCCUCCUUGUUCACCUGAUCUGAACUCCAUUGAGAACAUGUGGUCCAUCAUCAAAUGUGAGAUUUACAAGGAGGGAAAACAGUACACCUCUCUGAACAGUGUCUGGGAGGCUGUGGUUGCUGCUGCACGCAAUGUUGAUGGUGAACAGAUCAAAACACUGACAGAAUCCAUGGAUGGCAGGCUUUUGAGUGUCCUUGCAAAGACAGGUGGCUAUAUUGGUCGCUGAUUUGUUUUUGUUUUGUUUUUGAAUGUCAGAAAUGUAUAUUUGUGAAUGUGGAGAUGUUAUAUUAGUUUCACUGGUAAAAAUAAAUUAUUGAAAUGGGUAUAUAUUUGUUUUUGUUAAGUUGCCUAAUAAUUAUGCACAGUAAUAGUCACCUGCACACACAGAUAUCCCCCUAAAAUAGCUAAAACUAAAAACAAACUGAAAACUACUUCCAAAAACAUUCAGCUUUGAUAUUAAUGAGUUUUUUCGGUUCAUUGAGAACAUGGUUGUUGUUCAAUAAUAAAAUUAUUCCUCAAAAAUACAACUUGCCUAAUAAUUCUGCACUCCCUGUACUGUACAUCCUGUACCUUAGCCUGUGUAGUGAUAUUGACAACAAAAAUAAUUAAAAAUACACUUACCCAUCGGGGCGCCGGAAACUGGUAGAUUGCAGGUAUGCCAGUUUGUCAGUCCAGCUCUGGCUGGUAAACCAAACCAGAUUAAUUAAUCUGGCCUAAAUAUUGUUAUGAGAGUUGUGAAAACUCAUUUUGUCGUUAUUGAUUUUCUGGCACGGAAUACCUUUGAAGUAGCAAAUAAAUUACGAUCGAUUAAACUUACUAUCAAUAUGUUUUUUUCCUCUUAUGAAAUAAAAGUGUCGGAGUUUCGAGCCUGUGCGGUUUCGCCAAACUUGCAGUCGAGAAUUUUCAAAGUAAAAGCCAUCUAAAGCGUCAAAAAUUAAUUGUUAACAUGCCAAUUUUUACUGUCUUGAUUUUAAUUCGACAAUAAAUAAACAAACAGACUUCUG